GCGAACUUUGCCAAUCUUGGUGUUCUCUGGCAAAUGCCAAACGUCCUGCACGGUGUUGGGCUGUAAGCACAACCCCCACAUGUGGACGUCUGGCCCACAUACCACCCUCAUGGAGUCUGUUUCUGACCGUUUGAGCAGACACAUGCACACUUGUGGCCUGCUGAAGGUCAUUUUGCAGGGCUCUGGCAGUGCUCCUCCUGUUCCUCCUUGCACAAAGGUGGAGGUAGCGGUCCUGCUGCUGGGUUG
Non-coding RNA from Pelobates cultripes (western spadefoot toad), 246 nucleotides. Lineage: Eukaryota; Metazoa; Chordata; Amphibia; Anura; Pelobatidae. The record is from the annotation of a GenBank genome assembly.